RNAcentral lists this ribosomal RNA (429 nucleotides) under uncultured bacterium. Its description in RNAcentral is "bacterial SSU rRNA". It matches the Rfam family "Bacterial small subunit ribosomal RNA", at positions 355 to 776 of the family's 1533-position model. The record is from RNAcentral.
UGGGGAAUAUUGCGCAAUGGGGGGAACCCUGACGCAGCGACGCCGCGUGAGCGAAGAAAGCCUUCGGGUUGUAAAGCUCUGUAAUAAGGGAAGAACGUUGGUUAUACGAACAGUAUAACCAGUUGACGGUACCUUAGUAAUAGCCCCGGCUAACUACGUGCCAGCAGCCGCGGUAACACGUAGGGGGCGAGCGUUGUCCGGAAUCACUGGGCGUAAAGGGCGUGUAGGCGGCUAAGUAAGUCAGGUGUGAAAUCCCUCGGCUCAACCGAGGAAUAGCACAUGAAACUAUCUAGCUUGAGUGCAGGAGAGGGGAGCGGAAUUCCCGGUGUAGCGGUGAAAUGCGUAGAUAUCGGGAAGAACACCGGUGGCGAAGGCGGCUCUCUGGACUGUAACUGACGCUGAGGCGCGAAAGCUGGGGUAGCGAACGGG